UUUGUAUUGGCAGAUUAGUGCAUUGAAUUUAGAAUUCAAAAAAAUAAUUUUAUAUUAUAUACAAUA
This 66-nucleotide transfer RNA is filed under the name Prolachesilla sp. GRA2sp1LA. RNAcentral describes it as "tRNA-Leu". RNAcentral also lists the same sequence under 1 other name. Lineage: Eukaryota; Metazoa; Arthropoda; Insecta; Psocodea; Lachesillidae. The record is from RNAcentral.